Molecule: long non-coding RNA, 291 nt
Organism: Amphimedon queenslandica
Lineage: Eukaryota; Metazoa; Porifera; Demospongiae; Haplosclerida; Niphatidae
Exons: 2
Source: RefSeq, a predicted model, not a curated record
UUGUUACUGGAGACAGACCACCUCCUAUUAGUAACUUCACUCUAACACCAGUUACUAAUAACACUGCGGUAAUGUUCGGAGGUGAUACUGAUAAUGGAUUCAGUAAUAAACUGUAUAUGAUAAGUUUCACUAAGACAUCAAUGGAUAUAUUAGAAGUACCUAAUCCUGGAGGAUCAGUACAUUGGCCUGAGAGAAGAUUUGCUCAUUCCAGUGUACUGAUUACCACUAGUUCAGGACCACACUUACUAGUGGUGGGUGGAUGGCCUGCCUAUGAUGUAUGGUUACUGGACA